AGGGGAGUGAAAUAGAACCUGAAACCGUGUGCCUACAACAAGUUCGAGCCCGUUAAUGGGUGAGAGCGUGCCUUUUGUAGAAUGAACCGGCGAGUUACGAUAUGAUGCGAGGUUAAGUUGAAGAGACGGAGCCGUAGGGAAACCGAGUCUUAAUAGGGCGCAUUAGUAUCAUGUCGUAGACCCGAAACCAUGUGACCUACCCAUGAGCAGGGUGAAGGUGAGGUAAAACUCACUGGAGGCCCGAACCAGGGCACGUUGAAAAGUGCUUGGAUGACUUGUGGGUAGCGGAGAAAUUCCAAACGAACUUGGAGAUAGCUGGUUCUCUCCGAAAUAGCUUUAGGGCUAGCGUCGAUGUUAAGUCUCUUGGAGGUAGAGCACUGUUUGAUUGAGGGGUCCAUCCCGGAUUACCAAUAUCAGAUAAACUCCGAAUGCCAAUGAGAUAUAAUCGGCAGUCAGACUGCGAGUGCUAAGAUCCGUAGUCGAAAGGGAAACAGCCCAGACCACCAGCUAAGGUCCCAAAAUAUAUGUUAAGUGGAAAAGGAUGUGGGGUUGCACAGACAACUAGGAUGUUAGCUUAGAAGCAGCUAUUCAUUCAAAGAGUGCGUAAUAGCUCACUAGUCGAGUGACCCUGCGCCGAAAAUGUACCGGGGCUAAAACAUAUUACCGAAGCUGUGGAUACCUUUUAGGUAUGGUAGGAGAGCGUUCUAUGUGUGAAGAAGGUGUACCGUGAGGAGCGCUGGAACGCAUAGAAGUGAGAAUGCCGGUAUGAGUAGCGAAAGACAGGUGAGAAUCCUGUCCACCGUAUGACUAAGGUUUCCAGGGGAAGGCUCGUCCUCCCUGGGUUAGUCGGGACCUAAGGAGAGACCGAAAGGUGUAUCCGAUGGACAACAGGUUGAUAUUCCUGUACUAGAGUAUAUAGUGAUGGAGGGACGCAGUAGGCUAACUAAAGCGUGCGAUUGGAAGUGCACGUCUAAGCAGUGAGGUGUGAUAUGAGUCAAAUGCUUAUAUCUCUAACAUUGAGCUGUGAUGGGGAGCGAAGUUAAGUAGCGAAGUUAGUGAUGUCACACUGCCAAGAAAAGCUUCUAGCGUUAAUUAUACUCUACCCGUACCGCAAACCGACACAGGUAGUCGAGGCGAGUAGCCUCAGGUGAGCGAGAGAACUCUCGUUAAGGAACUCGGCAAAAUGGCCCCGUAACUUCGGGAGAAGGGGCGCUGGCUUUAAGUCAGCCGCAGUGAAUAGGCCCAAGCAACUGUUUAUCAAAAACACAGCUCUCUGCUAAAUCGUAAGAUGAUGUAUAGGGGGUGACGCCUGCCCGGUGCUGGAAGGUUAAGAGGAGCGCUUAGCAUUAGCGAAGGUG
Molecule: ribosomal RNA, 1358 nt
Filed under: Salmonella enterica subsp. enterica serovar Typhimurium
Lineage: Bacteria; Pseudomonadati; Pseudomonadota; Gammaproteobacteria; Enterobacterales; Enterobacteriaceae
Description: partial 23S ribosomal RNA
Rfam family: Bacterial large subunit ribosomal RNA
Source: RNAcentral